RNAcentral lists this ribosomal RNA (427 nucleotides) under uncultured bacterium. Its description in RNAcentral is "partial 16S ribosomal RNA". It matches the Rfam family "Bacterial small subunit ribosomal RNA", at positions 355 to 774 of the family's 1533-position model. The record is from RNAcentral.
UGGGGAAUAUUGCACAAUGGGCGCAAGCCUGAUGCAGCCAUGCCGCGUGUAUGAAGAAGGCCUUCGGGUUGUAAAGUACUUUCAGUCGGGAGGAAGGUGUCAAGGUUAAUAACCUUGGCAAUUGACGUUACCGACAGAAGAAGCACCGGCUAACUCCGUGCCAGCAGCCGCGGUAAUACGGAGGGUGCACGCGUUAAUCGGAAUUACUGGGCGUAAAGCGCACGCAGGCGGUUGAUUGAGUCAGAUGUGAAAUCCCCGGGCUUAACCCGGGAAUUGCAUCUGAUACUGGUCAGCUAGAGUCUUGUAGAGGGGGGUAGAAUUCCAUGUGUAGCGGUGAAAUGCGUAGAGAUGUGGAGGAAUACCGGUGGCGAAGGCGGCCCCCUGGACAAAGACUGACGCUCAGGUGCGAAAGCGUGGGGAGCAAACA